CGGGCUGUGGCGCAGCUUGGUAGCGCAUCUGCUUUGGGAGCAGAGGGUCGCUGGUUCGAAUCCAGUCAGCCCGACCA
This 77-nucleotide transfer RNA is filed under the name Promicromonospora iranensis. RNAcentral describes it as "tRNA-Pro". It matches the Rfam family "tRNA". From Rfam's summary of the family: Transfer RNA (tRNA) molecules are approximately 80 nucleotides in length. Their secondary structure includes four short double-helical elements and three loops (D, anti-codon, and T loops). Further hydrogen bonds mediate the characteristic L-shaped molecular structure. tRNAs have two regions of fundamental functional importance: the anti-codon, which is responsible for specific mRNA codon recognition, and the 3' end, to which the tRNAs corresponding amino acid is attached (by aminoacyl-tRNA synthetases). tRNAs cope with the degeneracy of the genetic code in two manners: having more than one tRNA (with a specific anti-codon) for a particular amino acid; and 'wobble' base-pairing, i.e. permitting non-standard base-pairing at the 3rd anti-codon position. RNAcentral also lists the same sequence under 5 other names. The record is from RNAcentral. Lineage: Bacteria; Bacillati; Actinomycetota; Actinomycetes; Micrococcales; Promicromonosporaceae.